Long non-coding RNA from Hydractinia symbiolongicarpus, 954 nucleotides. RefSeq lists it as uncharacterized. The transcript is spliced from 4 exons. NCBI's taxonomy places the organism in Eukaryota, Metazoa, Cnidaria, Hydrozoa, Anthoathecata, Hydractiniidae. The record is from RefSeq and is a predicted model, not a curated record.
UUUUUUUAUUGCUUUUAGGACAUCAAUACUGAAACAGGGCUUACCUCGCAAUUCUGUAAUGGAACAAGAAAAAACAAACUAAUAUCCUGUCCUAAAUUCCCGCCACUGCUACCAGUCCACAUUACCGAAUCUGGUACUGGUAAACAAGUCACAAUAAAUUCGUUUCCAGUGAAAAUUACAAUGGCCAUUUCAAGAAAGAUAACUAGAGCAAACGAACUGAUGGCUAUUACACUUUGGGACAAGUCACAUUACACUGCAAAGCUCCUUUACAAUGGAAGCUGAUACUUCCACGACGGAAUGAAAAACUGAUUGGUCGCUCAAAACCGCGAAGUGUUACCAAAUGGUUACACACAUACGUACCCUUUAUAUGCUAUGAUGUAUAAUGUUAAAAAAAUAUAUUGGUUAACACGUGCAUUUAAAGUUAACAGGCAACACAAUGAUGAGUUUUACUUGUUUGUGCUUUAGUGCGAAAGGACGGACAGAAGACGCAAAUUUUACGAAAUUUAACGAAUAAAUGUACUACACCAAUAGCCAUGUAAAAAACCUAAAUAACUUGAACUGAGAUACUUAAAAAUGCUUUAUUUUGUACAACUGAUUCUUUAACAUCGGAUUUCCCAUUUUUUGGCACAUUAUGAUCAAAUUUAUUAUCGCAAGUUAACUAAAAAAGGUUGUUCCAUUUUUUAUAUUUGAGUAUGUUUGUAUAGAUGAUAAUGCCGACGAUGACAGAAUAUUUCAAGCUGCAGAAAUUCUAAGCAACCUUCGUAACGCAAAUACAGGAAAGAGGACAUGGAGAAAGUAUGUGCCACACUAAUGAUCUUGAACAACAAUCUUGUGACUUGCCUUCUGUAAGUUCUGUUCAAGAAAAUAUGUCAGCUGACGCGGAAGAAGAUCAUACCGGUAAUAAUUAUAAUCGUAUAUUAAGAAUUGGUUUUUUUAUUUCCACGAAGAAAAUUG